AGAACGAACGCUGGCGGCAGGCCUCAAACGUGCAAGUCUAGGGGGUGUAGCAAUACAUCACCGGCGGACGGGUGCGUAACACGUGGGAAUAUACCUUUUGGUUCGGAACAACUGAGGGAAACUUCAGCUAAUACCGAAUGUGUCCUUGCGGAGAAAGAUUUAUCGCCAAAGGAUUAGCCCGCGUUCGAUUAGCUAGUUGGUAGGGUAACGGCCUACCAAGGCGACGAUCGAUAGCUGUUCUGAGAGGAAGAUCAGCCACACUGGGACUGAGACACGGCCCAGACUCCUACGGGAGGCAGCAGUUGGGAAUCUUGGACAAUGGGGGAAACCCUGAUCCAGCCAUGCCGCGUGAGUGAUGAAGGCCUUCGGGUUGUAAACUCUUUCGACGGGGACGAUAAUGACGGUACCCGUAGAAGAAGCUCCGGCUAACUUCGUGCCAGCAGCCGC
This 447-nucleotide ribosomal RNA is filed under the name uncultured bacterium. Its description in RNAcentral is "SSU rRNA". It matches the Rfam family "Bacterial small subunit ribosomal RNA", at positions 26 to 518 of the family's 1533-position model. The record is from RNAcentral.